RNAcentral lists this ribosomal RNA (245 nucleotides) under uncultured bacterium. RNAcentral's name for it is "partial 16S ribosomal RNA". It matches the Rfam family "Bacterial small subunit ribosomal RNA", at positions 16 to 257 of the family's 1533-position model. The record is from RNAcentral.
GACAUGGCUCAGGAUGAACGCUAGCGGCAGGCUUAACACAUGCAAGUCGAGGGGCAGCGCGGGAUAGCAAUAUCCUGGCGGCGACCGGCGGAAGGGUGCGUAACGCGUGAGCGACAUGCCCGUUGCCCGGGGACAACCGGUGGAAACGCCGACUAAUCCCCGAUGGGAUAUUGUGCCGCAUGGCACGAUAUUGAAAGUUACGGCGGCGACGGAUUGGCUCGCGUCCGAUUAGCUUGUUGGCGGGG